CUGAAAACCACUGUUUGAGACAGCAUACAUUCCCAGGACUGCAGACCACUGGACCAAACUUCUAGGAAACAAGACUUGUGCACCCUGGUCACAAAAGAUUGUGACUUCCAUCCUGUUGGCCGACCCUCUCUCCGGCCUUCUCAGCUUGCAAAUUCCAUGAAACAAGCUGCCAUGCUGGCAAGGACCACAUGGCAAGGAAUUGAGAGCAUCCUCUGGCCAGCAGCAAGCUAGGAACCGAGGUCCGCAGUCCAACAACCCUCGAGGGACUGAAUUCUGCCAACAGCCUUGUGAACUUGGAUGUGGAUCCUUCCCCAAGUGAGCCUUCAGAGGAGAUGCCAACCCUGGUCAAAUCUUUGGUUACAGCCUGUGAGCGAUUCCAAAGCAAAGGAGCUGGCUAAGUUUUGUGCCCUGACUCUGGCCCACGGAAACUGAGAUAAUAAAAGAGUAUUGUUUUGAACCAUGA
Sapajus apella (tufted capuchin) is the source of this 463-nucleotide long non-coding RNA. RefSeq lists it as uncharacterized. The transcript is spliced from 2 exons. NCBI's taxonomy places the organism in Eukaryota, Metazoa, Chordata, Mammalia, Primates, Cebidae. The record is from RefSeq and is a predicted model, not a curated record.